RNAcentral lists this ribosomal RNA (440 nucleotides) under uncultured bacterium. Its description in RNAcentral is "partial 16S ribosomal RNA". It matches the Rfam family "Bacterial small subunit ribosomal RNA", at positions 338 to 795 of the family's 1533-position model. The record is from RNAcentral.
CCUACGGGAGGCAGCAGUAGGGAAUAUUGCUCAAUGGGGGAAACCCUGAAGCAGCAACGCCGCGUGGAGGAUGAAGGUUUUCGGAUUGUAAACUCCUUUUGUCAGAGAAGAUAAUGACGGUAUCUAACGAAUAAGCACCGGCUAACUACGUGCCAGCAGCCGCGGUAAUACGGAGGGUGCAAGCGUUACUCGGAAUCACUGGGCGGAAAGAGCGCGUAGGCGGGAUAGCAAGUCAGAUGUGAAAUCCUAUGGCUUAACCAUAGCACUGCAUUUGAAACUGUUAUUCUAGAGUAUGGGAGAGGUAGGUGGAAUUCUUGGUGUAGGGGUAAAAUCCGUAGAGAUCAAGAGGAAUACUCAUGGCGAAGGCGACCUGCUAGAACAUAACUGACGCUGAUGCGCGAAAGCGUGGGGAGCAAACAGGAUUAGAUACCCGUGUAGUC